AACAACAGCAUAGCAUCUGCUUCUCAUAAGCUGCUCAGAGAGAAGGUCAAAGAGGCUCUUAUCCAAGGACAAUGGCAUGUUUACUUUUCAUUUAGAAAGAAGGCCUUGGAAAAAAUUAAAUGAAUAAACUUGUUAAUAAAGCAAAUGUGAAAAACCUGAGAAGAACCUCUUAAGAGCUCAUUGCCAGCUGGCACGGGGCAGUUGCCUGAAGACUCAGAGAAAGGCUGGCCUGGGAGGAAGAUUAGCAACCAUUUCCAUUCAUAACUGAACAGGGGUGCCAGGUGUUGGUGCAGGUUGUUUUGGAAUGUGGGCCUUGGCUGGACUUCCCAGCAACUUGCUAAAGUUGUCUCAACUCUGUCAGAAUAACAUCUGACACAAAGGACUUACUACGUGUGUCUAAGGCUGUUCAUAUAUAAAGUCACUGAAUCUUCAUAAGAAUCAUUUGAAAGAACUCAACCUAGCUCAUAUAAAUAGUAAGUGGCCAAAUUAG
RNAcentral lists this long non-coding RNA (490 nucleotides) under Macaca mulatta (Rhesus monkey). RNAcentral describes it as "lncRNA (ENSMMUG00000049958.1)". The record is from RNAcentral. Lineage: Eukaryota; Metazoa; Chordata; Mammalia; Primates; Cercopithecidae.